This 321-nucleotide ribosomal RNA is filed under the name uncultured Mycoplasmatota bacterium. RNAcentral's name for it is "bacterial SSU rRNA". It matches the Rfam family "Bacterial small subunit ribosomal RNA", at positions 28 to 351 of the family's 1533-position model. Lineage: Bacteria; Bacillati; Mycoplasmatota. The record is from RNAcentral.
GAUGAACGCUGGCGGCGUGCCUAAUACAUGCAAGUCGAGCGAGGUAGCAAUACCUAGCGGCGAACGGGUGAGUAAUAUGUAGGUAACCUGCCCUUAAGACGAGGAUAACCAAGGGAAACUUUGGCUAAAACUGGAUAGGAACAUUGGAGGCAUCUCUGAUGUUUUAAAAGACCUAGCAAUAGGUAUGCUUAAGGAGGGGCCUGCGGCGCAUUAGUUAGUUGGUGAGGUGAAGGCUUACCAAGACGAUGAUGCGUAGCCGGACUGAGAGGUUGAACGGCCACAUUGGGACUGAGAAACGGCCCAAACUCCUACGGGAGGCUG